GAGGGACCAGACAUCAAUCCAGGCUCUGCAAAUCUUUCUGGACAAGUCUCUCGUAUUUCAAACUUAUGCAUCCUGAGUCCUGACCUACUGGCACCCCAUACCUGUCGUCAGAGAGAUGGAUCCUGGUGUCUGCCGAGCUGAACCUCACCUUGAUCCUCCCUCCCAUCUUGGCGAUAAGAGUGAUUCUCUGAAGGAAGAAGAACCCCCAUUGGAUGUCUGCUCUUUUUAUGAGGGGCAGAAAUGUUCCUGUGGAAUUUUAAUAACGAAAGGAGAGUGAGAUGGGGAAGGACACAGUGGAAGAGAUGGACAGAUGAGCAGAGUAAAUUACAUCUUCUUGGGACCAAGGGACAUUCAAAGCGAUGCACUAAGGGACACAAGACCGAGACACACCACAUGAAGCAACAAGGGGCAUGGCCAAAGCUCUGACUCACACAAGCAAGAAGCACAACUGCACACAACACAAACUCACCGCAAAAAGAUCUAAACAGACACAGAAGGGAGAGGAGGGAUGCAAGAUGCACUCAAGCAAGAAGCACAUAUGCACAAAACACACACACAAGAAAUAUAACACGAGACACACAAGACUUCCACAAACAAGGGAUUCAAAUACACAAUAUACAAACAAACAGAAGGCGAAACAUGCAAGACUGACAUACAAAUACACACA
Mauremys mutica (yellowpond turtle) is the source of this 667-nucleotide long non-coding RNA. RefSeq lists it as uncharacterized. Lineage: Eukaryota; Metazoa; Chordata; Testudines; Geoemydidae. The transcript is spliced from 3 exons. The record is from RefSeq and is a predicted model, not a curated record.